GGGUCAGUAGGUUGGUCGUGCCACCGGUACGUACUGGUCUCACUGAUUCCUCCUUCCUGAAGAACCGUAAUGCCAUUAAUUUGGUGUUGCGGGGAAACAGGACUGUUACAUUGAAAAAAUUGGAGUGUUUAAAGCAAGCUAACGCUUGAAUACAUUAGCAUGGAAUAAUGAAAUAGGACGAUCGAUCCUAUUUUGUUGGUUUCUAGGAUUGACGUA
This 216-nucleotide ribosomal RNA is filed under the name Glomeromycotina sp. Its description in RNAcentral is "partial small subunit ribosomal RNA". The stretch from base 40 to 216 matches the Rfam family "Eukaryotic small subunit ribosomal RNA", at positions 686 to 864 of the family's 1831-position model. Lineage: Eukaryota; Fungi; Glomeromycota. The record is from RNAcentral.